UUCUCCUCUAAAAUAUUAAAAUAAAUAAAUUUAAAUAUUGAAAAAAAUGAAAUUUUACAGGUUCUGAAAACCUUGAAAACGCUCCGAAACAAACAACUCAUACCCGUAUCUUUAAAAAUGUAUACUUUACCUCUAAAAAUUCCUCCCAAUCAAAGUACAAGUCUCUCAAUCUCUCCCACACUAGCAUACACAAACACACCGUUAAACAAGGAGACACCCCGGAAAGAAAUGUCAAAAAGCCGUACUGUUUUUUCAAAGACCUGACAAUAAAAAUACAAUUGUACUUAAUCCCACUUCAUCUGAUGUUCAUUUCUCCAUCCAAUCCCUACAAUGUCAACACAAUUCAUGACAUUCCAAUGUAACUGUUCUCUACAAGCAGAGAUUUAACGAAAAUAUUACACAUUCUAGGAAAAACAAGGAAACCCAUAUUUUGAAGAGAGGGGGAAAAAAACGGUAUUUAAUUGAUUAAAUGCAAGGUAUGUUACUGACUUGAGACCUAUAAAAACAUUAAAAAAUAAAAAUAAAAAAUGCAAUGCAGGAUGCAAUACCCUCAAUAAUAGGUUGAAGACCCCCAACCAAAGUAUACCAACAGAGUGCAACAGUUAAAAUACAACCUGACCAUAUGACAGACAUAAUGAUGAACUGAUACAGACAUGAAUAAAUGAAAAUGACUCAGAAGUGAAAAAUCAGUAAUGAAUUGAGGGUCUUGUAAAAUGUGGCACUUGGGUGGUCUUCAAGUGUCACAAACCUUCGACUGACUUGCUGCAGCCCUCCACUCCCAAAACCUAGAGGUACUUCUGAGACAACCACCAAGACAGCAUGGGUAGUCUGGUAACGAGAGAUCUCAACCAUUACAAGGACCAACAAACAACUGACAAGAUGCUGCCUGACCUGUAUCUAUUCGCCAAAUCAAUGUUACCUCUCCCUCGCUAGGAACAAAUUUUUUUAAAGCUUUUAAUGGACGCCUUCACCCAUGUCUGCAAAUCAAUGAUUACCCAAUGCCUCUUUGACAGAACAGAACCAUGAUGCUGAUGCAAGAGUUAGUGACAACCUGAAGACCGAUAACUUCUGUUAUCUGAAAAUGACAGAUGACCUGACUCGAAUGCAACCCGGACCCGACUCAGUACACCCAAAUGCAUGCAGGGACUUGAAAUGUUAAAAAAUGUUGAGUAGCAACACCCUCAGACAGAAAUGGCACGACUGAUGGCCAACUUGGCCCAUUCAGCAGAUUCCUUUAUCAUAUGAUCUUCAGAAGACAAACAUUCAUUUAAAAAGUCUUUGACAGAAAGAGAUUGCUGUAUCAAAGAACCAGCAUUACUUCCCAGUGUAUCUGCUAAAUCUCCAAGGACUCCAAUUGCUGUUUUCAUGACCACAUCAUCCAUGUCUUUCUCCAUGUAUAUGCUAUCCAAGAACUGGAGGAUGUGGGGUGCGUAAGGAACCAAGAGUUGCAUUUUAGGAGAGUUCUUAAACCCUUGAAGAAUUCCUGAAUAAGCCUCCAAAAUUCCAUUUCUCAGUGAAUUUGUGUAGUCAAUCAUUUCAUCAUCGGCACCAGCUGCAUGGGCAGACAACUCUGCAGCACUUUGGAGCAUGGGCAUGGCAUACAUCAAGUACUUCUCAAAAUUCUCUCCUAUUGCCAAGGCAAUGUCACCAAAACAUGAGAAUAUGGGAGGCUUCACAGAUCGAUGCAACUGAUUGCUAGAUAAAUCCUUGAGAAGUUGUGUCAUGAUCCCAUCACAAUAAGGCAAAAUUUUAUCCUCUAAUGCCCUGCAGAUAUCCCCCACAACACCAACUGUAACAGCACAAACUUGGUACUCCUCAAAAUUUUGAAGACCCAUUUCUAAAUAUUUAAAAAACUCUGCCAUGUAUUUUGAAAAAUCUGGACCAGAUGCAUAGGCAAGGGCUCCAAUUGCUAGCAUUGCCUCCUCAUGCACAGUUGCAAGUCUGCAAGCAAAAACCCUCAGGAAAAGCCCCAUUAUCUGGUCCGCAUAUUGCAUGAACACAACCUUAGUAGGCUCUGAUGAACCUAACUUCUGAAUGAUGACUUGUAAACAUCCACAAAGUAGACCUUGCAACUCACUCUGUUUCUCUCUCUCAUCAGAUGCAAGCUUCUGCUCUUCAAGAGUUUUGUGAAGCUCUGUCAUAAUUACGGGUACCAACUGCAACACCAUGGGUGCUGUUUCAUCAGUUGAGCACCUCACAACUUCAUUCAGUGUUUCAUAAGCAGCUGUCCUCAAUCUGGACUCCCCAGCGUCUUCUCUGUGAGUAACAGUUAGAAGAGCAUGCACAAUUUCCUGGAAAUAAGGUGUCAAUGGAGAUGAUGGACCUGCCUCUUCAUAACCUUGGGCAAGGAAAUAGAGGGCACCACAUGCCUUCUCAGCCACAUUUGGAACAUCCUUCAUGCUCUGAAGCAGAACUGUGAUGAUCUGUUGGCAAUUUGCUUGAGUAAUUAUAGGUGUGUCCACAGUUGAACCAUGAAGGAAUUCAAAAAUCCGCCCUAGAGUCCAAGCAGUAGUGUCUUUCACAUGGUUAUUUGGGUCCUUCGUUAAAGCAGUGAGCAUGAAAUUCAAAGCAACAUUAACAAUAGAUGUCAACUUGUCAGGGGAAGGUCCCUCCAAGAUAGAGCCAAAAGCAUAUGUGGCUGCCUCCCUUUGCCUCCAAUCUGGCUUUGUUAUAUUUUCUUCAAUGAAUGGCAUGACCAGUGGCACAAUAUCAUCUCCCACGGUGCGUGCAACCAAGCCAAGGCAUGUGCCCCCUGCCAUUGCAAUGUUCCAAGCCCCUUCAUCCUGAUCCUGAUCAUCCUCUUGCUUAAGAAGGGUCUCCAACAACAUUGGGAUAAGAGCAGGGAGUGCCUGCUUGAUAAAAUAAAAACAAGGGACAUCAGAAUCCCCAGUGAAAUCACCUCCAUAUUCUUCCAAGAUGUCUAUCUCCUCAUCACAAAUUGAACUCCAAAACUCAAUUGCCUGAAGAGCCACAGGUUCCUCAUCUUCCCUCACAGCCUUUGCUGUGAUGUUAAAGACGUCUUGCAUAUAGCGAGCUAAUUUCUCAUAGUACAUUGAUGAAAUGGAGACCAAACAUUCAAAAGCUGCUUGCCUUAUCUUUACUUCUGGGGACAAAGUUGCCUCACAUACAACUCUCAUGAUAUAAUCACGCUCCAUAUCAUUACUAAAAUUUGCUUGAGCAAAGCCUAGAGCAUUGUACAGUGCUCGGGUAGCAGCAAGCCUGACAUCAUUGUUUGCUUCAGAUGCAUUCAUUCCUUGAACUACAGCAGUAAGAAUUUUAUUUACUUGAUCUUGAUCCACAACAUCAGGAGAGAUUUCCUCACAUAAAUAUCCAAGAGUCUCUAAUGUUGCCUGCUUCACAUGAGCCGGUAGCUGGUGAAUGUUCAAUAAUAGUGAUCCUAUCAACUCAGGCCACUGUUUCUGAGGAAGCUCAAUGCCGGCAACCUUGGCAACUACUUGAGAGGCAGUUGACCGAGCAUCAGACGCUGUAGAAGAGAGGGUAUUUACCAAGCAUACCUUUAUCUGGCUCUUCACAGCAGCAUCCAAAGACAACCAUCUCUGGACAAGCUCAAAUUUUCUAUGUUGUUCCUUUGCAUCCAAGGCAUUCUUUAGUAUCAGACCUGCUAAUUUACGGCUAUCAACAGGCUUAUCUUCAUUAGCUAGCUCCCCAGACAAUGAUAACAGAAAACUAGGCAGAUUUUGCUCCUGAAAUUGUUUCAAGCUUUCCUCAGCUUGCUUCCUAACAUUUCCAUCUAUUGAUUGUGCGUUCAAAAGCACCUGGGUAACUUCCAUUGCCAUAGUGUAUCUGGUCGAGCCACGAAAUUGAAGAAGAAAACAAAGAGAAGGAUCGAGAAGAGUGAAACGGCGCACUCCAACCCUAGCACUAGCAGACAGUGGAGGGGAGGAAGAAGAAGAAGAUGCGGACGUGAAGCAAAACUUGAAUUAACGAAAAUCAAAAA
This 3958-nucleotide unclassified non-coding RNA is filed under the name Hevea brasiliensis (rubber tree). The record is from RNAcentral. Lineage: Eukaryota; Viridiplantae; Streptophyta; Magnoliopsida; Malpighiales; Euphorbiaceae.